GCUCCCCCCAAAGCUGUCCUGAAGGGUCAGGAGAGCCCCCAGUACAGCAUACGGAGGGAGAGAGGAGAGAUUGUUCUGUUGGGCAGAAAUGCGUGCACUGACAGAACAAUCUCCUUAGCACAAUCACUUU
This is a small nucleolar RNA of Rhineura floridana, 130 nucleotides long. RefSeq annotates it as small nucleolar RNA SNORA17. The record is from RefSeq and is a predicted model, not a curated record. Lineage: Eukaryota; Metazoa; Chordata; Lepidosauria; Squamata; Rhineuridae. The transcript has a single exon.